AAGUCGUAACAAGGUUUCCGUAGGUGAACCUGCGGAAGGAUCAUUACAAUACGUUACCACGUAUAAACCCAAUGGUUGAACUGUUUGCGUCCGAUAGGAAAUGUUUUGGUGGUGGCCGGCGGCUUGGAGGUUGGAAUCACUUGAAAAUCAAAACACAUUCGAGAAAUCGGUGGUUUUGAGGUGAUCAAAAGUGCCUCGGCCGGUCGUUCUGUUUUGCUUGAUUUGGUUCGAGUAGACAGAAGCCCUUUCCUAGUUCGCGCAUUGAAUUUUCCAAUUUCAAACACUUUUGCAUCGCCUUUUUUGUCUUUUUUUAACCCAUUUCACCUUUGAUGAUUAACAAUCAACGAACUAAAUCGAGAACAGCCCUAACCGGCUAUUCUUGCGAUAUUACGAAACUUAAGAACAACUCUUAACAACGGAUAUCUUGGCUCUC
Molecule: unclassified non-coding RNA, 433 nt
Filed under: fungal sp.
Lineage: Eukaryota; Fungi
Description: partial internal transcribed spacer region
Rfam family: Eukaryotic small subunit ribosomal RNA (bases 1-46)
Source: RNAcentral